This 463-nucleotide ribosomal RNA is filed under the name uncultured bacterium. RNAcentral's name for it is "partial 16S ribosomal RNA". It matches the Rfam family "Bacterial small subunit ribosomal RNA", at positions 28 to 507 of the family's 1533-position model. The record is from RNAcentral.
GACGAACGCUGGCGGCGUGCUUAACACAUGCAAGUCGAACGGUGAAGCUCUUCGUUUGUGGUCAGCUGCGGACGGGUGCGUAAGACUUGCACAACCUUCCCCCGGCCCUGGGUUAACUCCAACAUCUGGGGGCUAAUACCGGUUGUUCACCGGUUCCCCCGCUGGUGGGGGUGGAAUGGGUUGCCGGCUGGGGUUGGGCCCGCGGCUUAUCAGCUUGUUGGUGGGGUAGUGGCCUACCAAGGCGACGACUGGUAGCCGGCCUGAGAGGGUGACCGGCCACACUGGGACUGAGACACGGCCCAGACUCCUACGGGAGGCAGCAGUGGGGAAUAUUGCGCAAUGGGCGGAAGCCUGACGCAGCAACGCCGCGUGGGGGAUGACGGCCUUCGGGUUGUAAACCGCUUUCGGCAGGGACGAAGCGCAAGUGACGGUACCUGCAGAAGAAGCACCGGCUAACUACGUG